This 452-nucleotide ribosomal RNA is filed under the name uncultured bacterium. RNAcentral describes it as "bacterial SSU rRNA". It matches the Rfam family "Bacterial small subunit ribosomal RNA", at positions 28 to 478 of the family's 1533-position model. The record is from RNAcentral.
GAUGAACGCUGGCGGCGUGCUUAACACAUGCAAGUCGAACGAAGCACUUUUACAGAUUUCUUCGGAAUGAAGUUUUGGUGACUGAGUGGCGGACGGGUGAGUAACGCGUGGGUAACCUGCCUCACACAGGGGGAUAACAGUUGGAAACGGCUGCUAAUACCGCAUAAGCGCACAGUACCGCAUGGUACAGUGUGAAAAACUCCGGUGGUGUGAGAUGGACCCGCGUCUGAUUAGCUAGUUGGCAGGGCAACGGCCUACCAAGGCGACGAUCAGUAGCCGACCUGAGAGGGUGACCGGCCACAUUGGGACUGAGACACGGCCCAAACUCCUACGGGAGGCAGCAGUGGGGAAUAUUGCACAAUGGGGGAAACCCUGAUGCAGCGACGCCGCGUGAGCGAAGAAGUAUUUCGGUAUGUAAAGCUCUAUCAGCAGGGAAGAAGAAAUGACGGUAC